GUGCUCACUUCAGCAGCGCUUCUACUAAAAUUGGAACAACACAGACAAGAUGAGCAUGGCCCCUGCACAACGAUGACAUGCAAAUCUGUGUGGAGUUCCAUAUGUUG
Molecule: small nuclear RNA, 107 nt
Organism: Prolemur simus (greater bamboo lemur)
Lineage: Eukaryota; Metazoa; Chordata; Mammalia; Primates; Lemuridae
Source: Ensembl